Non-coding RNA from Kogia breviceps (pygmy sperm whale), 397 nucleotides. The record is from RefSeq and is a predicted model, not a curated record. Lineage: Eukaryota; Metazoa; Chordata; Mammalia; Artiodactyla; Physeteridae.
GAGGGUCUGAAACUGCAUUCUACAUGUCUUCUGAGGAUCGCUCUGCAAGGUGCAAAUAAAAUGGCAAAUUUCGAUUAAGGAAUUCAGCGAUAAGCAAACAAGCUUCACUCUUCUCUUCCAGUGUAAUCAUGGAUAUGCAAAUAUUCUUCAUGUCUGAAAUAUUGCACAAGACGGUACGGCAGCUGUGCGAAAAGCUGGUUGAUUUCAAACUGCAGUUGGAUGCCCAGCCCUAGUGCACUUCAAGCACAAAUAACAUACCACGUUUUUCUGCCUCUGGGCUUUCCCUGAAGCCAUGGGGAUUUUCUCAGUCGAGAGAACAGAAGAGGGAAUCCUAUCUAAAAGAAGUUAUGUUAAAAAGAAAAUUUCAAGGCUUCUGAAUGUAUUUUGUAAAGAACAG